Molecule: ribosomal RNA, 427 nt
Filed under: uncultured bacterium
Lineage: Bacteria
Description: bacterial SSU rRNA
Rfam family: Bacterial small subunit ribosomal RNA
Source: RNAcentral
UGGGGAAUUUUGGACAAUGGGCGCAAGCCUGAUCCAGCCAUGCCGCGUGCAGGAUGAAGGCCCUCGGGUUGUAAACUGCUUUUGUACGGAACGAAAAGCCUCUUUCUAAUAAAGAGGGGUGAUGACGGUACUGUAAGAAUAAGCACCGGCUAACUACGUGCCAGCAGCCGCGGUAAUACGUAGGGUGCGAGCGUUAAUCGGAAUUACUGGGCGUAAAGCGUGCGCAGGCGGUCUUGCAAGACAGUGGUGAAAUCCCCGGGCUCAACCUGGGAACUGCCAUUGUGACUGCAAGGCUGGAGUACGGCAGAGGGGGAUGGAAUUCCGCGUGUAGCAGUGAAAUGCGUAGAUAUGCGGAGGAACACCGAUGGCGAAGGCAGUCCCCUGGGCCUGUACUGACGCUCAUGCACGAAAGCGUGGGGAGCAAACA